AACGAACGCUGGCGGCAGGCCUAACACAUGCAAGUCGAACGCACCGCAAGGUGAGUGGCGCACGGGUGAGUAACACGUGGGAAUGUACCCUUUGGUUCGGAAUAACGUUUGGAAACGAACGCUAAUACCGGAUGAGCCCUGUGGGGGAAAGAUUUAUCGCCAAAGGAGCAGCCCGCGUCUGAUUAGCUAGUUGGUGGGGUAAAGGCCUACCAAGGCGACGAUCGAGUAGCUGGUCUGAGAGGAUGAUCAGCCACACUGGGACUGAGACACGGCCCAGACUCCUACGGGAGGCAGCAGUGGGGAAUAUUGGACAAUGGGCGGAAGCCUGAUCCAGCCAUGCCGCGUGAGUGAUGAAGGCCUCGGUUGUAAAGCUCUUUCGUCACGCGACGAUGAUGACGGUAGCGUGAGAAGAAGCCCGGCUAACUUCGUGCCAGCAG
RNAcentral lists this ribosomal RNA (437 nucleotides) under uncultured bacterium. Its description in RNAcentral is "bacterial SSU rRNA". It matches the Rfam family "Bacterial small subunit ribosomal RNA", at positions 29 to 514 of the family's 1533-position model. The record is from RNAcentral.